GGUACAUCGGUGACAGGUGGUGGCAUGGUUGUCGGUCAGCUCGUGUCGUGAGAUGUUGGGUUAAGUCCCGCAACGAGCGCAACCCCUAUUGUUAGUUGCCAUCAUCAGUUGGGCACUCUAGCGAGACUGCCGGUAAUAAACCGGAGGAAGUGGGGAUGACGUCAAAUCAUCAUGCCCCUUAUGACCUGGGCUACACACGUGCUACAAUGGUUGGUACAACGAGUUGCGAGUCGGUGACGGCGAGCUAAUCUCUUAAAGCCAAUCUCAGUUCGGAUUGUAGGCUGCAACUCGCCUACAUGAAGUCGGAAUCGCUAGUAAUCGCGGAUCAGCACGCCGCGGUGAAUACGUUCCCGGGCCUU
Molecule: ribosomal RNA, 359 nt
Filed under: uncultured Streptococcus sp.
Lineage: Bacteria; Bacillati; Bacillota; Bacilli; Lactobacillales; Streptococcaceae
Description: bacterial SSU rRNA
Rfam family: Bacterial small subunit ribosomal RNA
Source: RNAcentral